Lolium rigidum is the source of this 356-nucleotide long non-coding RNA. RefSeq lists it as uncharacterized. The transcript has 2 exons. The record is from RefSeq and is a predicted model, not a curated record. Lineage: Eukaryota; Viridiplantae; Streptophyta; Magnoliopsida; Poales; Poaceae.
AAGCUAUUUGGCUAUUGGUCUUUUAACUGUGAUUCAAAGAUUCAUGUACAUCUCAAGAUAAAAUAUGAAGCUAUAACUCUUAUGCAUGCUCAGGUUUGGUGUAAGUGCUUACGUUCAACUUCUCAACGAGUUAACAUCUUGGAAGAAAAUUAUGAAGAAUCAAAAAAGAGCUAGCGCAUGUACAUGUGAUUCUUUAAAUUGAUUCCUUUGAGCUGUUAGCUGCUUGAUCAUGUCGUCGUGAUUUUUCCUCAGGUUUCAGCAGCUCAGUCAUCUUUUGACAAAGAGAUCGCGCAAGGAAAAGAGAAGCAAACUCACCACAAUUCCAGUAAACAUGCAGAAUUGAAGGAUGAGAUAAA